Molecule: ribosomal RNA, 44 nt
Filed under: Peyritschia viridis
Lineage: Eukaryota; Viridiplantae; Streptophyta; Magnoliopsida; Poales; Poaceae
Description: Trisetum viride partial 26S ribosomal RNA
Source: RNAcentral
CCGAUCGCGACCCCAGGUCAGGCGGGACUACCCGCUGAAUUUAA